AUUGCCUUAGUUUUUCGUAUUGCAUUUCAAUUAAAUAAAAUUCAAAAAAAAAAAUCAUUUCAAUACAAAAAGUUAAUAUUUAUAAAUACAACCAUAGAUGUUUAAUAUUUAUAUGUUUCCCCAUGUUUCCAUUUCCUACAUUUUUAGAAAUGCCAUUUCCCCAGGUCCAAUAAUGCAUUUCCACAUAUCGGCAUUUCCAUUUCCAUGCUACAUAGAUUGUCAUCUGUUACCAUGCAAAACCUUUUGGGCAUUGGUAUCGUGGCAUUUACUUGAAGUUGCCACAUCAGACACUAACCUGUGCUAGCACCAACGUUUUUAAAUAUACCAAUAUGUCACAAAUCACAAUAGUUAAAACAGGGAAUUAGGACAUUAUUAACAGAGAAAACUGAUUUCACAUUCAUAAGUAAUUGGUGAACCAGCCCGUAUUGGAUUACAUAAACCAAUACAUACUACAGCAUAGUGGUCAAUACGCCUAUAAAACCUGACAAACAUGGUUUUUUGGCCAUCAAUCCAAUUCCCAAUAACAGUUCUCCUCCCUUUCUUUGAUUUCAACCUCCAAGAACCUAAUUUGAUAUCAAAAUACUUCCAUUUCUCUUGAUUUCUCAAGGAUUUGCCAUGGCUUACUCUAAAAGUCUUUUGCAAAAUAAGGUGCUCCUUUAGUCCGUUUUAGGAUGUGUUUGGCUAUGAUUUUGUUUAAAACAACUAUAAUUGUUAGAUAUAAAAGAUUAUGAUGAUAUUUAGCAAGUAUCUUAAACUGCAAAACUAUGCAUAUUUAGUUAAACUACUGUUUCAUAUUGAUUUGAGUAAUUUUGUUAAUUCAAAACAAAAAAAGGAGUGUCACUGAAUAGAUUUUGAUACAUCCAAACACUUCAAACAGCAAUUGCUGCCAUUGUCUAAAAACCCCAGCUAGCAUGCCCCCUAAUCCCUAUAUUAAUGUGCAGAAUUAAAUUAUCAUUUUCGGAUUGCUAAAACGCUACCAGUUUGCACUCUAUCAUUUGCUGUAAGUAUCAAAUUAAAAUAGUUAUCCAAUAUUGUUAUGAGAGUCGAUCCCUUAGAAGUUCUGUAUAUUAAGGUUUCCCAGCUAGAUGACGAUUCCUAGUUAGCAUAGACUUCCCAUCCAAUGUAGUAGUCUCACGUGCGUG
RNAcentral lists this unclassified non-coding RNA (1142 nucleotides) under Hevea brasiliensis (rubber tree). The record is from RNAcentral. Lineage: Eukaryota; Viridiplantae; Streptophyta; Magnoliopsida; Malpighiales; Euphorbiaceae.